CAAUAGCGUAUAUUUAAGUUGUUGCAGUUAAAAAGCUCGUAGUUGGAUUUCGGAUGGGAUUUGCCGGUCCGUCGUUACGAUGUGCACUGGCCAGUCCUAUCUUGUUGUCGGUGACUAGCUCCUUGGAUUCACUUCCUGGGACUAGGAGCUGACGAGGUUACUUUGAGUAAAUUAGAGUGUUCAAAGCAAGCCUACGCUCUGAAUACAUUAGCAUGGAAUAACACGAUAGGACUCUGGCUUAUCUUGUUGGUCUGUGAGACCAGAGUAAUGAUUAAGAGGGACAGUCGGGGACAUUCGUAUUUCAUUGUCAGAGGUGAAAUUCUUGGAUUUAUGAAAGACGAACUUCUGCGAAAGCAUUUGUCAAGGAUGUUUNCAUUA
Molecule: ribosomal RNA, 378 nt
Filed under: uncultured eukaryote
Lineage: Eukaryota
Description: partial 18S ribosomal RNA
Rfam family: Eukaryotic small subunit ribosomal RNA
Source: RNAcentral